Molecule: long non-coding RNA, 4394 nt
Filed under: Sus scrofa (pig)
Lineage: Eukaryota; Metazoa; Chordata; Mammalia; Artiodactyla; Suidae
Description: lncRNA (ENSSSCG00030001152.1)
Source: RNAcentral
GGCUGGCCAAGGCCUCUGCUGUGACUGUAGCCCAGCUCAACCUCUCGUCCUGCCCAGCCUCGCCGCCCUCAGGCACUCACAGGGGUGGCUCCCAGUCCAUUCUCCAACACAGCUCCUGCCCACAGUCUCCUCUCAGAGUCCGCUUCCCAGCAACUCAGUCUGAGACAGCUCUCCCAGAGUCCUGUGGGAGGAGGAAUUCCCGAGGAGCAGCAAGAGGAGGAAGAAUUCUAGAAUGUGAGAGGGAGAAAAUGCAAGGAUAGUCAUCAUCAGUGAUAGAAACCCAGUUCGCAGUGCUUGUACCAGCUUCUCCUCCCUCUUUCCUAGGUGGGGGUGGAGACUAUGGCUAUGGGUGGGAUUAUAAUAAGGUAUAUGCUAAUGAGGUGAUUGACCCAUAUUUCUUUUCCUCGAAUACCAUUCUGGUUUGAGAAGACCAUAUCUGUCAAGUCCUAAAGACUAUAAUACAUCUUAGGCAAAUUUCCAUGUUUUGGGGAAAUCUAAAUAUGAACCUAUGGGGUGGGGCAUGAGGGCUGGUUUAUGAGCAGGUGGUUAAUAGAUACAACCUGAAUUAAAUGAUACAGUUUUCUUGCAUUAUGUCUAAAAUUCCAGUAGACUUCUGUAUUUGAAUUUUGGAAAAUGAAGUCUGUUACAGUGUGCAAAAAUAGGAGAAUUAUAAGAUAAAUAAUUAGCAACUAUUAGUUCUCAGCUAGCUUAGAGCAAGGCAGGCGCUUAGAAGACAGUCGGGAUGUGGGUGUGUGGGUACCAGAGGGGCUGUAAGAAGAGGUGGGAGGGAACAAAGACGAGCUAUACUUAGCUUAAAAUUUCUUGGCUGAGUACGAUAGUAAAAUGGGUUAAAACGUGUUUCCCAGACUGUGAUGUCAUACCCCUGGUGGAACCAAAAGGGCUCUGUGGAGGUAAAAGAGAAAAGUGUUUACUCUUUUCAUCAUUAUGAAUUUACAGUUACAGAGUUCCCGCUGUGGUGCAGCAGGUUAAGGAUACUGCGUUGUCUCUGCAGCAGCUUAGGGUACUGUGUUUGAUCCAUUGCCCAGCAUAGUGGGUUAAGGAUCCAGCAAUGCCAUAGCUGUGGUGUAGGUCGCAGUUGUGGCUCAGAUUUUAUCCCUGGCCCGGGAACUUCGUCUGUCCUGGUUGUGGCAAAAACAAACCACCAAAGCCCCCCAAACUUUUCUUUUAAAAUAAAUUUAUUUAAAUUCAAGAUGAAUCUAUUUAAACAAAGUAUUUACUAGUACAGGUAGCCUGCAGAUAUUGUGAGAAAAAUCAUCACAGUGGUGGUUUGUGAAUAUUAAGAGUUUAGAUGUAAAAUCUGUUGGUUUAAGCUGCCAAAGAGAAUUAGAUAUAAGAGAUAAUCUAGCAAUUCUGAGAACUCAGCAAAUAUUAAAUGAAACAUCAAAUGAUACCAUGUGGAAUUCAUGUCAGAUUGUCCAACUGCUUAUAUUUUUGUUGUUGCUUUCGAUAUCCUCCUACCUAAACUAUUUCCCCCCUCCCACCUCCCAUCGCAUCUUCUGCAAAAUAGUUCUAGGUCUUUUAGUCUCGAGCACUCUUGCACAAUCUAUAAGAUAUGGUCACUUACCAUGCCUGUGGUAUUAUUGCCUGUUAAUUACAUACCCAUCACAUAUCAGAUAUCAUUAAGGCACAUUUAUUAAACAUAAAACUAGAGGAUUUAAAGGGAAUUUGAGGGGGAAAAAAAUCUCCCAGUCUGGAAGGUUUCCAGGCUAAAUAUAGAAACUUGAGGCAACUAGAGGUUUUCAGACUUUUUCAGCCACAGAACAUUCUGUUCAAAUAAAUCUUACCAGGCAACCCAAAGCCACAGAGAGAACAUACGCAGAGCUGCUCUGCGGGUGGGAUCUGGGUCAUGACAGUGUCCUGCGAUGAUGAACGAACCGUCCCCUCCCCUCUCUCUUGGGGACCCCCACCCUGCUCACCCUACGCCACCCCUGAGGUUUGGGGGAUGUGGUGUCUUGUUUGAAAACCUCUGACCUAGAACAAUUUCCUUUCUCAGUCUGUCUACACCUGUCAUUUUGUGACUGCAGCACAGUCAACGGGCUUCUAUUUUAUGAUAUGAUGCAGUGAUUAUAUAUUCUUUCUAAGACUACUACAGAUGGGUCUUGUCCAAAAUACCCCUCCCCCAAAUCUAGAUUUAGCGGAAAAACAAACAACCUCCUAGAUCCCAUGUUCCAUUCAGGGCCCUGAGCUCCUGCUGUGUUUCUUGUUGCAUAGCCCAGGAUCCAGCAGGGCUCCCCAUUUUAUACAGUGGGUGAACGAAUGCAAGAAUGAACAGAAGAGGAAAGCUGGGCUGUGAUGGAUUUCGAGAAAUGGGACCAAUGCGUCAAAGCGUUUGCACACUUUCCCAGCCUUCGGUGAAUGUGUCACUGUACAGAGGAGCUGGGGGCAGGGGGGCAGAUCACUGUAACCUGUAGGCAGCGAGCCCCGAAGGUGAUGAUGCUUGGGAGAAGGUGGUGGUUGUGGAAUAGGAAAGAAAAUGCGAAUCAAAGGCACUCAGAAAAGAGACAGUACUGGCAGCGGGUAGGGUUUGGGAACCUCAAAGACUUGGGCCAAAAAUGAUUUUUGUUCCUAUCAUAAAGAUGCUGUGUGAAGGGUUGGAAAUAUCAAAAUUCUUCACAGAGCUGGCUGGAGGCUGAGCUCCUGGUGUAAAUCCAGAGUUGCCUUAAAAGACAUAAUUCAGGGAGUUCCUGUGGUGGCUCAGUAGGUUCAAUCCCUGGCCCUGCUGGUGAGUUAAGGACUUAGCAUUGCUGUGAGCUGUGUUGUAAGUCACAGCCUCUGCUCGGAUCUGAUAUUGUUAUGGCUGUGGUCUAGGCUGGCAGCUGCAGCUCCGAUUCAUCCCCUGCCUGGGAACUUCCAUAUGUUGCAGGUUUGGCCUAAAAAGCAGAAAACAAACAAACAAACCAAAGAGACAUAGUUCAGCCGUAGCUGUUUCGGGUGUGUCAUGUCAUGGAAAUGAAAAGCCUGCGACUGUCUCAGUCACUUGAGUUGGGAUGAAGCACGGAUACAUGAUCACUCUCAGGUCGCUUUCUAAACUCUUUCCUCCAUCCUCUUGCCGGUCCACCCCUCCAGCCACCUGCAAGGCACUGGGUGGUUUCUGCCCCUCCCCCAAACUUUCCCAGACAGCUCCGCCCUCGGAAGGCUCGUCCAGCCCCUGGUCACUCCUGGACCUCUUGGCCUGCGGUGCUUAUUUUACACCUGUCUCUGCCCGGGAGCCUCCCUGGAUAUGUUGGUGGAUUGCCUCCCCUGACUGGAUGGAAGGACAGUGCAGGCAGGGUCUUUACGUUUCUGCCACAGCACCUUUUCCCAGACCUCCCAUGGGACAGGCGCUGAGGCCCUGCUGGUUGAUUGAAUAACAGGGAUGUGCUCUGGCUCCAGCUCACUUCUGAUCCAUACCAGGGUUUUUUUUUGUUUUUUGGUUUUUUUCUUAACCAGCCCGUGAAGGCCCACAGCCUGGAUCGUGUGCCAAGUUUCCCAGAAAACUGAAGGGAAACUUACUUGACUUAUUGGUCUUAGAGCCUCAAGGCAGGAAAGUCCCAGGAGAACAGCCCUGCCCAAGGUGUCACAUGGGUCUGUAUGCUGACUCAAUUUGUCCCACGUGGAGAUAUGUCUAAAGGCUUUGCUGGAUAAGCCCAGAUGGAUAUUUUUUUGGCCAAUCUGCCCUGAAGGGACCUGCUCACACGUACAGCGAGAUGUGCAUACUGGAGGACUUUCCAGGAUGGCAAAAACCUGGUCAGUGAAAUGGUCAGGUGUUAGGGUGACAUCCUCUUCCCUCUGAGAAGCAUAAUUCAAAAUUCUGCUUCCAUGGAUCACCCUCCCAACUGAUUCUCCUGAGAGAUGGAUCCACGGGGUGGUGUGAGGGUGGAGGAGGGAGCACCUCAAUGGCAGAACCUGGGGGACCUCAGUCACUCAACUGGGAAUUGGCAUGACAGCCCCUUCAGGCCUCGAGACAUCAGCUCCAGCCCCAAGCGGCCAUUGCCAAGGUUGUGGGUGCACAGUCCCGCUCCCUUUCUGUCCUUCCUUCCUUCAUGGGCUCUAAUUUCUGUUUCUGCCCCCAAAGGAUGAUGGGACAGAAACGCAGUAUAAAGUUGUCGCCGAGCGCUCCAUCCUUGAAGAUGCGAGGAAGAUUUAAUUUGCUGUUACAUUAGGUGGCAAGAUCUCGAGGAAUUUGUUCAUUAUCUCUUAGGCUCAGUUUCUUCAUCUGAGAAACGAGGUUGAUACUUGCCUUGCAAGACUGUCAUGAAAAUGAAAAGAGAGAAUAGUCAUAAAGCUCUUAGCCCAGCGACUGACAUGUAGGAAGUGUUCGUUAAAUAUAUUUAUUUAUUCAGCAAAUAUUUAUUAAGCAUCUCUUAAGAGCCUGGCAUUGUUCUAGGCACCUG